AACAGGAUUAGAUACCCUGGUAGUCCACGCCGUAAACGAUGUCGACUUGGAGGUUGUGCCCUUGAGGCGUGGCUUCCGGAGCUAACGCGUUAAGUCGACCGCCUGGGGAGUACGGCCGCAAGGUUAAAACUCAAAUGAAUUGACGGGGGCCCGCACAAGCGGUGGAGCAUGUGGUUUAAUUCGAUGCAACGCGAAGAACCUUACCUACUCUUGACAUCCAGAGAAUUUGCUAGAGAUAGCUUAGUGCCUUCGGGAACUCUGAGACAGGUGCUGCAUGGCUGUCGUCAGCUCGUGUUGUGAAAUGUUGGGUUAAGUCCCGCAACGAGCGCAACCCUUAUCCUUUGUUGCCAGCGAGUAAUGUCGGGAACUCAAAGGAGACUGCCGGUGAUAAACCGGAGGAAGGUGGGGAUGACGUCAAGUCAUCAUGGCCCUUACGAGUAGGGCUACACACGUGCUACAAUGGCAUAUACAAAGAGAAGCGAACUCGCGAGAGCAAGCGGACCUCAUAAAGUAUGUCGUAGUCCGGAUUGGAGUCUGCAACUCGACUCCAUGAAGUCGGAAUCGCUAGUAAUCGUAGAUCAGAAUGCUACGGUGAAUACGUUCCCGGGCCUUGUACACACCGCCCGUCACACCAUGGGAGUGGGUUGCAAAAGAAGUAGGUAGCUUAACCUUCGGGAGGGCGCUUACCGCUUUGUGAUUCAUGACUGGGGUGAAGUCGUAACAAGGUAACC
This 731-nucleotide ribosomal RNA is filed under the name uncultured bacterium. RNAcentral's name for it is "bacterial SSU rRNA". It matches the Rfam family "Bacterial small subunit ribosomal RNA", at positions 771 to 1501 of the family's 1533-position model. The record is from RNAcentral.